RNAcentral lists this ribosomal RNA (254 nucleotides) under uncultured bacterium. RNAcentral describes it as "partial 16S ribosomal RNA". It matches the Rfam family "Bacterial small subunit ribosomal RNA", at positions 524 to 776 of the family's 1533-position model. The record is from RNAcentral.
UACGUAGGGAGCGAGCGUUGUCCGGAUUCAUUGGGCGUAAAGAGCUCGUAGGCGGCUUGAUAAGUCGGAUGUGAAACCUCCAGGCUCAACCUGGAGUCGCCAUCCGAUACUGUCAUGGCUAGAGUCCGGUAGGGGCCCACGGAAUUCCUGGUGUAGCGGUGAAAUGCGCAGAUAUCAGGAGGAACACCGGUGGCGAAGGCGGUGGGCUGGGCCGGCACUGACGCUGAGGUGCGAAAGCGUGGGGAGCAAACAGG